AAGAGGUUUUUCUUCUCCAAAGAUAAAGCCAUUGCUGAAAUGAGUGAUAGUAACUUGGAUAAAACAACCGUUAUUCAGCAAGCAAUAGAUUUAUGUUGUGGAGUUAUUAUUACAUCAUUAUUAGUAACUCCUCUUGAUGUUACCAAAACUCGACUGCAAGCCCAGAGCAAUCUAUUCUCCAAAGGAUGCAUUUGUGAAAAUUACUCAAAGAGAGGGAGUUAAGUCACUGUGAAGGGGACUUCCACCAACACUUUGGUUCAGUUACCAUUGUGAGCCCCCUGGAGCUGAUCAGAACUAGAAGGCAGUAUUGCAAGUUCUCCUCCAAGCAACUGUACUUGUGUGUCAGCAGUAAAGUGGCUUCAGACGGAUGGCUUUCCUUGUGGAGGGGCUGGAGUUCUACUGUUCUGAGAGAUGUACCUUUCUCAGCUUACACAAUGACUGUUUUUGAAGACUUCCAAUAGGAAAUUUUCUCUCUGACAGCAACGUACUGGUAUAUUUAUGAACAUUUCAAUAAGAUCCUGUGCAAGGAACUUGGUACUCACGAGCCAACAUUUUUAUUGCUUUUGCUUAGGGAGCAGCAUCUGGCUCUGUAAGUAUGUAUUUUUAUGUCUAUUGUACUCUUUUAUAUAUCUGUCGCUAAUAUACUAUUUAAAAUUGGUAUGAUUUUACCUGGCUCUCACAGAAGUGUUGAUGGUUUUGGGGUGCAUGUGCUUUAAACACCCAUACCUGGCAUUUAAGCUGAUUAGGUAUAUCUGAAUAAAUUACAGUGUUCUGAAAUACAAGACUUUUAAUUAUGUCAGACACUUGGAAUUUUCAAUCUAGUUUUAAAUUGUGUGUACUUUAAUUUUGUAAAAAAUUAAUUGAAUGUUAAUUUUUUGUGCUCUAACAUUAAAACUGCUCUAUUUUCCUGAUAGAUUGCAUCUGUCAUAACUCUGCCAUUUGAUGUAGUGAAAACACAAGGCAGACUGGGAGUGCGAGACUUUAAAAAGUGUUGGUAAGGAUAAAAAAACCAUAAUGUCUGGAAAAAGUGAAUGUAGUGUUUUGGCAUAUAGACUUUUGGUAGGAAUUUUAAAUAUCUAUUUUUUUUCCUUUAAAGUUUAUCUAAAAAAUACUAGCGCUGACAUCUUUUCUACUCCAAAUUUCAUAGGAUAUUUUUACCUUCUAGGAUAAAUACAGUAUUUCAGUAAUGGCUUGGAGGAGGGAGAAGGUGUGAGCUCAGUACUAUUUAGUUUAGUGAGAUGGCAUAAAAUAUAAACAAAAAAUUCAAAGCUAUUACAUUUAGGGAGACCAAUUGCAAACUGAAGAUCUCCCUGCUCUUUGCAGGCAGGUUGGACGAGAUGAUAUUUAAAGGUCCCUUCCAAGCAAAAUGAUUCUAUGAUUGAAACAAGUUAUAUUUGAAUAGGCAAAAGUUUAAUUUCUUAAAAUACAUUCAGGGGAACUUACCUUCAGACUCAGUUUACCAUAAAGACAAGUUCUUGUUUAAGUAUCUGAACUGCAAUGAGCAUUUAGCUACACGUAUAGCGUGACAAUGAGAGCGACUGGGUCGUUUGAAAGCUAGGUGACUUUUUCCAGCUAUAUCAGUACUUUAGUAAGGAAUAUUGUCUCUGUUCUUGUAUCUUACUCCAGGUGUUACUACAGGGUUUUCUGUCAUGAUAUUUUAAGCAUUUUAUGAAUUUGCAUAUUUUAUGAAUUUAAUAUC
Neopsephotus bourkii (Bourke's parrot) is the source of this 1699-nucleotide RNA transcript. It is a transcript of the gene named probable mitochondrial glutathione transporter SLC25A40, with no coding region annotated. NCBI's taxonomy places the organism in Eukaryota, Metazoa, Chordata, Aves, Psittaciformes, Psittacidae. The transcript has 7 exons. The record is from RefSeq and is a predicted model, not a curated record.